Molecule: ribosomal RNA, 496 nt
Filed under: uncultured bacterium
Lineage: Bacteria
Description: partial 16S ribosomal RNA
Rfam family: Bacterial small subunit ribosomal RNA
Source: RNAcentral
GAUGAACGCUGGCGGCGUGCCUAAUACAUGCAAGUCGAGCGAACAGACGAGGAGCUUGCUCCUCUGACGUUAGCGGCGGACGGGUGAGUAACACGUGGAUAACCUACCUAUAAGACUGGGAUAACUUCGGGAAACCGGAGCUAAUACCGGAUAAUAUAUUGAACCGCAUGGUUCAAUAGUGAAAGACGGUUUUGCUGUCACUUAUAGAUGGAUCCGCGCCGCAUUAGCUAGUUGGUAAGGUAACGGCUUACCAAGGCAACGAUGCGUAGCCGACCUGAGAGGGUGAUCGGCCACACUGGAACUGAGACACGGUCCAGACUCCUACGGGAGGCAGCAGUAGGGAAUCUUCCGCAAUGGGCAAAAGCCUGACGGAGCAACGCCGCGUGAGUGAUGAAGGUCUUCGGAUCGUAAAACUCUGUUAUUAGGGAAGAACAAAUGUGUAAGUAACGAUGCACGUCUUGACGGUACCUAAUCAGAAAGCCACGGCUAACUACGU